Hemicordylus capensis (graceful crag lizard) is the source of this 4632-nucleotide long non-coding RNA. RefSeq lists it as uncharacterized. NCBI's taxonomy places the organism in Eukaryota, Metazoa, Chordata, Lepidosauria, Squamata, Cordylidae. The record is from RefSeq and is a predicted model, not a curated record. The transcript is spliced from 3 exons.
AAGUUUCUUGGGAGUCGGUUUCUGCUGUUUCUGAAGCAGUUUCAAUCCUUGAAUGGGAGGGAGGAUCUGGGAGUAGCUUUUUCUCUGCUUUCCUCUGCCAGGCUUAGCAGAAGGUUUAUUCUCCAGAUGCAGUUAAAGGCUUCAAGGACCCCAAUGGGCAACUCCUGGGCACCUUCAGCUUCCUCCCAGGGGAGUCGUGAUCAUCAGGAUGGAAGGGGCUUCUCUUCUGUGCUGUGGCCCACUUCAUCAAGUGAAAAAGAGGCACCAAAACAGGACCAUGAAAGAUUUGGGGGACAAGCGGUGUUUCCUUUGAUCUAUAUGGUGUAAGGUCAAGAGGUGUAAAGAUAAAGCAGGAUCUGGCAAGGAAACAGCGGACUUUGAAAGAAGGUGUAGUAGUCAAGAAGAGAAGAGAAGGACCAGGCUGGCCAUUUACUGCUUCCCUGCCCUGAGGAAAAUCCCAUUAUCCACUUCAAAAUGAAAUUUGGCACCACUGAAUAGCAAAAGUUCAGAAAUAAGAAUGGUCCAUAUACUAACUUUGGUAUUUAAGGAGACAAUGAUGACAGGCUGGCAUUUCAGGAGGACCUCCCCCCUUCUGCACCCGGCCCCGGGGCUGUCCCGCACCCCCCCUCCUGAAGCCGGCCCCGGGGCUGUCCCGCACCCCCCCCUUCUGAGCCAGCCCCGGGGCUGUCCCGCACCCCCCUUCUGCACCCGGCCCCGGGGCUGUCCCGCACCCCCCUUCUGCAGCCGGCCCCGGGGCUGUCCCACACCCCCCUUCUGCAGCCGGCCCCGGGACAGCCCCGCACCCCCCUUCUGCAGCCGGCCCCGGGACAGCCCCGCAUCCUCCUUCUGCAGCUGGCUACAGUUCAGUCCUGCUUGCCCCAACCCCACCCAUGAUUUACCUCAGGGUAGGGAUUAAAAGGCUGACCGAGAAACAAAGAGAACUCCUGCAGAAGUUACUCCAGCCAGUAAAUGCAAGGGAAAUGCAGAAUCCCAGGAGGAUGGGGCAGCUCUCGAUGGAGCAUCUCUAGUCGGUGACCCAGGAGUGGAAAAUGCUGUUGAGAUUAACGCUGUAUUACCCAAGGACUUGCCUCUCAGCUGAACCAAGGUUAAAGUCAGUAUCAGUUAUUGUUUUUGUAUUUUUGUUUAUGAAUUCCUUUCCCCGUAUUCCCCAAUUUGGGUGCAAAGACAUGGCGAACCCGAUUUGGGGAUGGAUCCUCAGAAGUCUUCGAUGUGGGUGUGUCUGGGGAGCAAAGGGGCUAUGCAGAAGGGACUGGCUGCAUCCCAGUCCCAAUUCUGUGGAGGCCUGGAGAAGACAAGAACUGGACCAGGCCAGGAUGAAUGAGGAGCCUGGGAGGAGAGUGUGGCAGUGGAGGUGGGGCAGCUCUACUGGACUCCAUGGGACACUGGUGUGCUGUCCUCCUCUGCUUCCAUUUGUAUAUAAAAUGAGGUUUUUUAAGUUGAUGGUAAGACUUUCAUUUCAUUUUAUAUUUAAAAUGUUUGUAUCUUUUAUAUUCAAACUGCUCUUUAUUAAGACACCCCGGGGUAGUGUGCAGCCCAUUGGACCCUUUGCAUGAAGCGGCACAUUCUUGUAAUUCAUUUCAGUAGAUCCCAGUUAUGAAUUCCAAAGUGGGGCUUCCCCCCAGUUUCUGGGAAGAUAAAGCACCCCAUUCAGUGCCAGUGCAAACACCUUUCCACUGUCGAGCACUUUCCAGAUUACAGUUACAACUGCCGUAAAAUGCUUCUGCUUGGCAGGAUUGAAUUGACAACGUAAUGAAAGGGUGUUGUGCAAGUCCACCAGCAGGGGGAGCAGUCUUUUCUAGUUUGCCUGAAACUCCUAAAAUGGAAAAAUACAGCAAUCUAAUAAUAAAAUAAAAUAAUAAUAAAACCCGAAAGAAGCCAUUGGAAAUGUGAAUGGCACCUUGCUGACAGCGCAGGGACUGUGGUGUCAAUAGGCAGGCAAUACGGAAGCACACUUUGCGGAUCCGUAGCGACACUGUGGUAAGGGUUAAUCUGGAAAGCACCCAGGCUGACCUGUGCAACUAACUCCUUGCAGCUGAGCAAACUUGAGUCUGAGUGUUUUCUUAUAGGAAGCACACAGCUACAUCUCCAAACAGAAAUACUACCAGCUGGGCAAAAGAAGGGGAAAGGGGUGGUUGGGACAGGGAAGGAAAGAAGGAAGGAAGAAAAACCCACUGGGCAAGAGAAGGGGGAAAGUGUCUUGUGGGCGGGGGGAGGGAGGGUACCAGAAAAAGGGAACCUCACUGGGGAACAGAAGGGGAAAGGCCCACAGGGCAGGAACAGUCAGAAGGGGCUUGAGGGGAGCAACCAAGCCCACGCAGACAACAGCUUCCUCAGAAGAACCACCGGCAGCCAUUUUCUCUGAGAAGAAGAGAGCUUGCUUCAACCCCUCCUUCCUCCUGCUGCAGCCUCCUGUCUUCCCUGAUCGGCCAGGGAAGAUUGGAAGCAGUCUUCUGACUGUUUGGCCAGGUGCUCCAGGCGGCACUUGGGCCAAGCAGACACUGGCACUCAACAGUUGGGGGGAUGGCAGGUGGGCACCCCACCCCCACCCCCAAACAUCAAGCUAUCCUGUCUACCCAAGCAUUGCCCAUCCCCCUGAUGAAAAAAGUAAAAGUCAAUAACAAUAACAAUACACAGGCUGUGGCAAUCAGCCUGGUCGUUGUUCCUCCUGGGGUGAGGGGGGUGGGCAAUGCUUAGGGGAGUACCGAAACAAUCCCUCAGGAUAGCUUGACUGGCCACUAUUCUGGCCAACCAUGGAAGAGAAGCAGCUACAGCAGCAGGGAGAAGGGGCAAAGCAAAUUCCCUUCUCUUCAGAGAAAAUGGCACUCUCGCUCUCUUCUGGUUAAGCUAUCCGUUUCCCUUCCUAACAAGAGCGUUAGUUUGCGGGGGGGGGAGGGGCACACAGCCUCCGUGCGCUUGCUCAGCAGCCCCCAGCAAGCACAGCAGACAGCCAAGGCCAGGAGAAAAGGCACAGAGGAAGCCAAGGAGCUAGUGAUGGUCCACCCGAGGCUCUCCAGCUGUUGUUGGACUACAGUUCUCAUCUUCCAUAGCUGCUGGUGGAGGGACUACAGCUCCCAUCACCCUGUCAUAAGAAAUGGUGGCCAGGGAUGAUAGAAGCUAGUCCAGUCAUCCCCAGCCACCACAUAUUGCAGUUAUUGGAGCUGUAGUCCCUACAACAGCAGCGGGGGUGAUGGGAGUUGUAGUCCAGUGAAAGCUAGAGAGCCUCAGGUUGGCCACCUCUGUAGUAAUUAAUAUAGUCUGCUUGUGUAGUACCUAAUGUGUUUAUGAAGAAAUCCCAGCACAUUUUUGGCAGCAGCUCUUUGGCAGGGGGCUGCAUAAAGACAUCAACAUGAAAUCAAGGUAGUUGAAAUGGAGGGUCAUUGAGAAAAUAAUGUUUAAGUCAUAGCAGGUCUGCCAAUCUGAAGCUCACACUUGUUAUCUUUUUCUUUUCUCUCCAUCCUACCAGCAAAGAAGCGCUUCCCAGAAUCCCUCUUGGCAUUGCUAUUGAGGCAAGUGCUGAGGCGGCCUCAGCCAUGUCAGUACACAUCAACACUGUGACAAAUCUCCCCUCGUAUGGAAUUGUGGGCCCUAGACAAGGCAGGAAGAGGUUGAGGAGAACAAGCCCACACCAGAUUCCCAUUCCCUUUCCAGCUAGGUUCCCAAAAGCCUCAAGUCCAUUCAAGGUGUUGGGAGAAGACCCCACAACCAAAGGAUUCUUUUGUGUGGAAAGGAGGAUAGUUCUCCAUGCAGAGGAUGGAGACAUAUAGAGAGGAUGGAGACAUAUAGAGCUCCAUACAGAGCCUUCACCUCUGAGGCAAAAAUAACCCCCUUCUGAACAGGGAGGCAUGGUUGAACCGCAAAGCUUCACCCCAGGAGUGGAAGCCACACCUUAGUUUACAGAACUCCUUUCAAACUAGUUUCUAAAGUAGUGGCCUGAGUUUGCAACUCCAUCUGCCCCAUCUCUUGAUUCUGAGCCUGGGUGCAAAACCACACCUCCUCCUAGCAUUGCAUGCAGUGUGGGGUGCUGGUUUUGCAUCCAUUCCCAGAAGGGUAUAAGAAACAGGCCUGGGAAACACAGUGUACCAUGCGGUGACUGCAUCCUCGGUAGGGAUGUUCCUGAAUCGGCACAUCUGAACUGGGCGAAUCGUUUCGGUACCUAAUGAGGCGCCAAAAUGAUUUGAGCACAUCCCUUAUCCUCAAUCUGUAGGUCCAUCCAGAGGGAUGUGGGCAUGCUAAUAAAAGCAAUCCCCAACCUCUGCUGGCUUUCUGCAGGAACACCUUGGCAUCCGCUCACCCCCCUGGAUGACAGUGUGGGAUUAGCUGGCCGCCUUUUGGGGCCGAGUAGGAAUUUUGCCCAUCCACCCAGAUUGGCCUGGAGGUGGCUGGUUUUUUGCCUACUCUGCACUGUUGCACUGGAAGGGGUUUUUGAUCUGGCCCAUGUUAGGAGCGGUGCCUUUAAAUAGAGUAGCCCCUUAGUCACCAGCACCAUGAUGGCAGCUCAGAGGAGGGGAUACGGUGCUGCACCCUAGGGGUGGCAGCUGCACUGUGGCUUGACUACACUGCAGCUCUCUGUUGGAGCUAGGUUAAUAAAGUUACCGCCCUAGUUUUAACCCA